ACUCAAGUAGUUUAAUGGUGCGGGAAAACAGCAUGGCGGAGCACAGUUGAUGUUCUUGAAGUGAAGAUGAGGGUUCGAAUCCUUCUUUGAGUA
This 93-nucleotide transfer RNA is filed under the name Myoviridae sp. ctx322. RNAcentral's name for it is "tRNA-OTHER". It matches the Rfam family "tRNA". From Rfam's summary of the family: Transfer RNA (tRNA) molecules are approximately 80 nucleotides in length. Their secondary structure includes four short double-helical elements and three loops (D, anti-codon, and T loops). The record is from RNAcentral. Lineage: Duplodnaviria; Heunggongvirae; Uroviricota; Caudoviricetes.